Camelina sativa (false flax) is the source of this 1017-nucleotide non-coding RNA. The record is from RefSeq and is a predicted model, not a curated record. Lineage: Eukaryota; Viridiplantae; Streptophyta; Magnoliopsida; Brassicales; Brassicaceae.
UACUUAUCGAUGAGUCGUUGUUGUUCAUGUUGCGUGGAAUCUAGAUACAACGAUUGUAUUCCCUGAAGAUCAGCUUUUGCAAAGACUGUUCACUCCAUCACUUGCUCAGAAAUAUGAAGAACUAUACCGUCAAAAUGGCGUUAAGUUUGUCAAGGUAAGAUAUCAACCCACGUCAAUGCCUUAGACUGAAGCCUUUGCUUUCCUGCGAACCUAAGAAUUUCAAGAACACAGUGAGUAAACUUAGGCCAUGAACAAAUCUAUUGGAGGAAUUCAGCUGUUUACACAGCAAGAUGCUCACUGAACAUGUCCCCAGCUUGGACUGAUACAUUGCAGUUCAACACCGGCUACACAGAAUCUGAGAUUAUGGACUGCUCAAAGCUUCUUGCUUUUCUUCACUGGAGAUGCGGUGAGAGCAGGCUACGUGCGUACAAGAAGUAGUCAAAGGCCGAGAAUUGGAGGUGUAGCUUUGGUUUCAGUAGCGAAGUAUUUCUUGGGCGCUGCUUCUGAUCUGAAGAAGCCUGCUUUUUCUUAUUGGGUUUAGACAAAGGUUUAUCUUCAGCUUGUCAAAAGCUUGGUUCGAUUAAAGUAGAGAAAAGGAGUGAAGAGGAUGAUGAAACUGCAAGCAAAUCACUGAAGAAAAGGGAGAUUCUUUAUGAUUUUGAGGUUAACAUGAUUGGAAAUACUGCAGGGAAGAAGAGUAUGAUCGAUGGUGAGCAACGUAAUGAGACGCAAUGAGAAGUUGUGCAGAGAAGUUAAGAAGGAAGAAGAACUUGAUGAAAGAUUGAAAAAGAGAAAGCUUGGAGUAAACGAGAUAGAGCUGAAGCUUGAGUCACGAGUUGCUGAGACGGAGAAGACUUCGGCCAUGAUUGGAACGGAGACGCACAUUGUCUAGUCUUUGAUAGUUAUGGUUUGUUUGUUUUAAUUAAGUUUCGCUUUAAUCUUUUUAUUUGUAGUCUAUUAGGAAACAAAACAGCAAUGUCUCACACAGAUAAAUUCUGAAAUGCAAUAAUUUCUCUU